UUCAUACUACUGUUGUUGUGCUAAAAACAAGGCUAGCUCUAAUUGAUUACAUCAAACGUGUAGGGCUACAGGGGCCCGGUGCCCACAUGAGCCAUGACGGGUAGUCAGCACCUAAUAAAAAAAGAAUUAUUCUAUGAGUACAUAAUAUUGUACAUAAGGGUGUCCAUUUUGAACACCCACCUAUUGUAGGGGGGCUUGUGAAUAGGGGGCCGCUGGGUGUCCAUUUUGGAUACCCUUAUGUGCCCCCUAAUGUACCCAUAGAAUAACCUAUAAAAAAACUGAAAAAAGGCAUGCCUCAAAUAAGUUUAGGUGUUGCCAUAAGACGGAGCUCUACCGAGCCUAGGUCAGGCCACCGCACAGGCCCCCCUCCAAUAGAGGGUCAUCGGGUGUCCAUUUUGGACAUCCUUAUGUGCCCCCUAAUGUACCCAUAGAAUAACCAUAAAAAAAACUGAAAAAAGGCAUGCCUCAAAUAAAUUUAGGUGUUGCCAUAAGACAGAGCUCUACCGAGCCUAGGUCAGGCCAUCUCAAUUCCGAGCUGUGCACACCUCUAUUCAUAACUUAUCUUCUCUAAUCUUUUCUUAUGCUCCCAAUAGAUCAAACCACAGGCUUAUCAACCUUCUUAUCCUUCACCUCCAAAAUUUAUCACGGGGCGAAUAAGAAAAGAAAAAGGAAGGAGCUAAAAGAAACCAUCAUAUCAAAGGUAGAAAAUCCUUCAAUAAGAAGUUAUGCUAAGAGGACACCCAUCUAAGCAAGGAAAUACAGGAAAAUUUUCCUUUUUUUUUUCUUUUUUUUUUUUUUUUUUUUUU
Molecule: long non-coding RNA, 806 nt
Filed under: Olea europaea (common olive)
Lineage: Eukaryota; Viridiplantae; Streptophyta; Magnoliopsida; Lamiales; Oleaceae
Description: long non-coding RNA (OEUR_LNC013563)
Source: RNAcentral